AUUGAACGCUGGCGGCAGGCCUAACACAUGCAAGUCGAGCGGAUGAAGGGAGCUUGCUCCUGGAUUCAGCGGCGGACGGGUGAGUAAUGCCUAGGAAUCUGCCUGGUAGUGGGGGAUAACGUCCGGAAACGGGCGCUAAUACCGCAUACGUCCUGAGGGAGAAAGUGGGGGAUCUUCGGACCUCACGCUAUCAGAUGAGCCUAGGUCGGAUUAGCUAGUUGGUGGGGUAAAGGCCUACCAAGGCGACGAUCCGUAACUGGUCUGAGAGGAUGAUCAGUCACACUGGAACUGAGACACGGUCCAGACUCCUACGGGAGGCAGCAGUGGGGAAUAUUGGACAAUGGGCGAAAGCCUGAUCCAGCCAUGCCGCGUGUGUGAAGAAGGUCCUCGGAUUGUAAAGCACUUUAAGUUGGGAGGAAGGGCAGUAAGUUAAUACCUUGCUGUUUUGACGUUAUCAACAGAAUAAGCACCGGCUAACUUCGUG
This 484-nucleotide ribosomal RNA is filed under the name uncultured bacterium. RNAcentral's name for it is "partial 16S ribosomal RNA". It matches the Rfam family "Bacterial small subunit ribosomal RNA", at positions 30 to 507 of the family's 1533-position model. The record is from RNAcentral.